Molecule: unclassified non-coding RNA, 467 nt
Filed under: Hevea brasiliensis (rubber tree)
Lineage: Eukaryota; Viridiplantae; Streptophyta; Magnoliopsida; Malpighiales; Euphorbiaceae
Source: RNAcentral
GUGAGGUUCAACCUCCAGGGGAAAAGGCGACGGUCAAUUCAUUAAUAUCGGCAAAUUUCGGGGCGGGAAAGAGAGAUUGUUAAGUUAAGAUCUAGUCUCUUGGGAGAUAAAAUACACGGCGCCCGGAAGAACUUAUUUCCUUUCUUAGCUUGUGCGAGAGUCACUGCGCGGGACUAUACGGACUAGUAAGAUAGACUCUCUUCCCAGUACUAAUCGAUAUCAAGGGGCGUGGCGCUUGCUUACUCCUUAGAGAAGAAGGUCUUGAGCCUGUAAAGGAGAGCUUGGAUGGCAGGAAGCUCGACGGAUAAGUUUAGGGUAGAUGGCGGGAAGUGCUUUGGGAGAGGAUGGAAUCUUGAUUUCCCUAGAAGGCUGAUUGCGACAAGGUCUGCAAGAGAGGACUACUUUAGAUUAAAACUGAAAGAAGAUACAACCGAACCGUGGACAUAUAAUAUAAAGGCUAUUUCCAG